RNAcentral lists this unclassified non-coding RNA (286 nucleotides) under uncultured Trechisporales. RNAcentral's name for it is "sequence contains 5.8S rRNA gene". The stretch from base 1 to 53 matches the Rfam family "5.8S ribosomal RNA", at positions 102 to 154 of the family's 154-position model. The record is from RNAcentral. Lineage: Eukaryota; Fungi; Basidiomycota; Agaricomycetes; Trechisporales.
GAACGCACCUUGCGCCCAUUGGUAUUCCGAUGGGCAUGCCUGUUCGAGUGUCUUGAAUUCAUCGCCGCCUCCGGUUUUGCGACCGGCUGGUGGCGGACUUGGGGGUCUGCCGCGGCGACGCGGCUCCCUUUGAAAGCAUCGGUGGGGUCUCCGAGCACCCACGGGCGUUGUAUUGUCCUCGUCCGACCGGGCCUCGCGUCCCCCACCUCGACUGCCGUCUGAGCGGCGGUCAAGCACACUUUGAAAUCUGACCUCGAAUCAGGUAGGACUACCCGCUGAACUUAAG